GAUGAAUGCUGGCGGCGUGCCUAACACAUGCAAGUCGAGCGGCAGCGAGGGGUGCUUGCACCCUGUCGGCGAGCGGCGAACGGCUGAGUAACGCGUAGGAAUUUGCCCCAAAGUGAGGAAUAACUGCCCGAAAGGGUAGCUAAUGCCGCAUAUGGUCUUCGGAUUAAAGGAUUUAUCCGCUUUGGGAGAAGCCUGCGUUGGAUUAGGUUGUUGGUAGGGUAAUGGCCUACCAAGCCGACGAUCCAUAGCUGGUCUGAGAGGAUGAUCAGCCAGACUGGAACUGAGACACGGUCCAGACUCCUACGGGAGGCAGCAGUGAGGAAUCUUCCACAAUGGGCGAAAGCCUGAUGGAGCAACGCCGCGUGAAGGAUGAAGGCCUUCGGGUUGUAAACUUCUUUUAUGAGUGAAGAAUAUGACGGUAACUCAUGAAUAAGCACCGGCUAACUACGU
Molecule: ribosomal RNA, 450 nt
Filed under: uncultured bacterium
Lineage: Bacteria
Description: partial 16S ribosomal RNA
Rfam family: Bacterial small subunit ribosomal RNA
Source: RNAcentral